This is an RNA transcript of Gorilla gorilla gorilla (western lowland gorilla), 961 nucleotides long. It is a transcript of the gene named V-type proton ATPase 16 kDa proteolipid subunit c-like, with no coding region annotated. The transcript has a single exon. Lineage: Eukaryota; Metazoa; Chordata; Mammalia; Primates; Hominidae. The record is from RefSeq and is a predicted model, not a curated record.
AUGUCCGAGUCCAAGAACGGCCCCGAGUAUGCUUCGUUUUUCGUCGUCAUGGGAGCCUCGGCCGCCAUGGUCUUCAGCGCCCCGCGCGCUGCCUAUGGCACGGUCAAGACCGGUGCCGGCAUCGUGGCCAUGUCUGUCAUGCGGCCGGAGCUGAUCAUGAAGUCCAUCAUCCCGGUGGUCACGGCUGGCAUCAUCGCCAUCUAUGGCCUGGUGGUGACAGUCCUCAUCGCCAACUCCCCGAAUGACGACAUCAGCCUCUACAUGAGCUGCCUCCAGCUAGCGCCGGCCUGAGCGUGGGCCUGAGCGGCCUGGCAGCCGGCUUUGCCAUAGACAUCGUGGGGGACGCCGGUGUGCGAGCCAUGGCCCAGCAGCCCCGACUAUUCAUGGGCAUGAUCCUGAUCCUCAUCUUCCCCGAGGUGCUCGGCCUGUACUGUCUCGUCGUCGCCCUCAUCCUCUCCACAGAGUAGCCCCUCUCCGAGCCCACCAGCCACCGAAUAUGAUGUAAAAACCACCCCUCCUCAUUCCAGAACGAAGAGCCUGACACACACGCAUGGGGCCGCGGCCCCCGGUAGUUGAUCUUGUACAUGCGCAGCGCAGCGUCCUAGUGCCGGUUGUCUGUUGCCCUGGCCUUGCCCCCACCCCACCCCCCACGCCGCCCCGUGCCAUGGACAUCUGGGUCCACUUAUCGCCCCUCCAGGCCCCUGGUGCCCCACCCCCUAGAGUGCUCUGUGUAUUCGGAUGACUUAGAGUUGUCAUUUCUCUUCACUGGAUGUUUAUUUAUAAAGAUCUGGCCUGUUCCCGCGUCUGCGGAGAGGCCCUGGUCUCCCAGCUAUCUAUAACCUUAGCUAAAGUGUGGCCUUGUGGGCUCCUGUUGCUGAGACCUCCUGGAUGGAGCUGCCCUCGCCACCGGGCCCUUGGCCCUGCACGGAGCUCUGUCCAAUAAAGUUCUCGGAUUUGGGGG